GACGAACGCUGGCGGCGUGCUUAACACAUGCAAGUCGAACGGAAAGGCCCUGCUUGUGUGGGGUGCUCGAGUGGCGAACGGGUGAGUAACACGUGAGUAACCUGCCCUUGACUUUGGGAUAACUUCAGGAAACUGGGGCUAAUACCGGAUAGGAGCUCCUGCUGCAUGGUGGGGGUUGGAAAGUUUUGGCGGUUGGGGAUGGACUCGCGGCUUAUCAGCUUGUUGGUGGGGUAGUGGCUUACCAAGGCUGUGACGGGUAGCCGGCCUGAGAGGGUGACCGGCCACAUUGGGACUGAGAUACGGCCCAGACUCCUACGGGAGGCAGCAGUGGGGAAUAUUGCACAAUGGGCGGAAGCCUGAUGCAGCAACGCCGCGUGCGGGAUGACGGCCUUCGGGUUGUAAACCGCUUUCGCCUGUGACGAAGCGUGAGUGACGGUACUGGGUAAAGAAGCACCGGCUAACUACGUG
Molecule: ribosomal RNA, 468 nt
Filed under: uncultured bacterium
Lineage: Bacteria
Description: partial 16S ribosomal RNA
Rfam family: Bacterial small subunit ribosomal RNA
Source: RNAcentral